GCUGGGUGUAGUGGCGGGCGCCUGUAAUCCCAGCUACUUGGGAGGCUGAGGCAGAGAAUUACUUGAACCCAGGAAGCGGAGGCUGCAGUGAGCUGAGAUCACACCACUGCCCUCCAGCCUGGGCUACAAAGUGAGACUCUGUCUCAA
RNAcentral lists this small RNA (147 nucleotides) under Macaca fascicularis (crab-eating macaque). RNAcentral's name for it is "Metazoan signal recognition particle RNA (ENSMFAG00000061608.1)". The record is from Rfam by way of RNAcentral. Lineage: Eukaryota; Metazoa; Chordata; Mammalia; Primates; Cercopithecidae.